GAUGAACGCUAGCUACAGGCUUAACACAUGCAAGUCGAGGGGAAACGAUAUUGGAAGCUUGCUUUCGUUGAUGGCGACCGGCGCACGGGUGAGUAACGCGUAUCCAACCUGCCCUUGUCCAUCGGAUAACCCGUCGAAAGGCGGACUAACACGAUAUGCAGUUCUCAGCAGGCAUCUAACGAGAACGAAAUGUGAAGGAGAAGGAUGGGGAUGCGUCUGAUUAGCUUGUUGGCGGGGUAACGGCCCACCAAGGCGACGAUCAGUAGGGGUUCUGAGAGGAAGGUCCCCCACAUUGGAACUGAGACACGGUCCAGACUCCUACGGGAGGCAGCAGUGAGGAAUAUUGGUCAAUGGGCGCAGGCCUGAACCAGCCAAGUCGCGUGAGGGAGGACGGUCCUACGGAUUGUAAACCUCUUUUGUCGGGGAGUAACGUGCGGGACGCGUCCCGUAUUGAGAGUACCCGAAGAAAAAGCAUCGGCUAACUCCGUG
This 489-nucleotide ribosomal RNA is filed under the name uncultured bacterium. RNAcentral's name for it is "bacterial SSU rRNA". It matches the Rfam family "Bacterial small subunit ribosomal RNA", at positions 28 to 507 of the family's 1533-position model. The record is from RNAcentral.